This is a non-coding RNA of Anas platyrhynchos (mallard), 1080 nucleotides long. The record is from RefSeq and is a predicted model, not a curated record. NCBI's taxonomy places the organism in Eukaryota, Metazoa, Chordata, Aves, Anseriformes, Anatidae.
AACAUUCAUCUCUAGAUUUAGCAGGAGAGAAGAGACACCCUCUGGUGUGUUGGGAAGAUAAUCCAAUUCCAGCUCAGAGACACUCACAAAGGGCACACGAACGCUCUGGGACUUUGAAUAAAAUUCUCGGUAAGAGAGAGAUAAGCUCUCUAACAAAACUAUUCUUACAUUUCAGAGGACGAUGAUUGCUUUUCUAUGUCUUUGCUGAGCUGUCUCCUAGAAACUCAUCUGAGAAUUAAAUGCUAGCUGUAAAAUUCUGUACGAUUCAGAGAAAACAAACAGCCUGUAGAAAGGAGAUGAAUCUCUAUUAUGUUCUAGACAUUCAUGUGGUGAUAUCUUUGGGCUUCCAUUGUAUUUCCUACAAGAACCACAUUAUGUCACCUCCAUUAUAUUAUGCAGAGCUCUUUAACCCAGUUUAAAAAAAAACACACUGCUUCACGAGAUACUGCAGCCGCCCCCGUACCUCCGCUCUACCUUUCUUUCUUUUAAUUAGGAUAACAUGAACCAAUCUAGGAGAGGGGAAGCUAGGUCUGAAGGUCUGAAGAGGCGAGGGAGGUGCUGACAGCACCCGAAGGGGAGCAUCACUCUGCACUCCGGUGACAAACCCUCCCUGCUCUGCUGGCAGUGACCAGCCAAGCCCCGCGGCAUCCCCGGAGGCUGCACGGGGUCCGGUGGUGAAACACGGCUCUCACUCGCUCUCGGGGGAAGCGGGCAUCCUGCUGGGACACCGGCGAGAUUCCUGCCGCAGCCAAGUGAAGCAGCAGCGGAGACACGAGCAGAUGCAGUGAGGAAAUAUUGGAUUCUUGAGGUGAAGCAGCUGAAGUCCCCGUCUCUCAGCCACGUUAUCUGGAUGGCUUCGUCAGUGCUGCCACCACACCACUGUGCCCAGAGCGCGGCUGCCAGGCUGGAGAUGAGUCCUGUAGCUUCGUGGUGGAGGCUUGGCCUUGCAGACACAGAGACACGUUGAAGGGGAUUUACCAGAGGCCAACAUUUAUCUGUUUCAGAGCCCUGCCAAGGGCUUUCACUGAGACACAGUUUCACAAAGUUGAUCAUAUUUAAUAAAGUGACAGAACAGUUUCA